Molecule: ribosomal RNA, 497 nt
Filed under: uncultured bacterium
Lineage: Bacteria
Description: partial 16S ribosomal RNA
Rfam family: Bacterial small subunit ribosomal RNA
Source: RNAcentral
GAUGAACGCUGGCGGCGGGCCUAAUACAUGCAAGUCGAACGGACAGACGAGGAGCGCGUUCCUCUGACGGUGGCGGGGGGCGGGUGGGUGAGGCAUACAUCAGCAACCUAUUAUUCGGGGGGGACUACGGGGGGAAGGAUCUGAUAACACCGAAUAUGAUCAACCGGAGGGAGCAAUGGUGAUAGACGGCUUGGCUGACUCAUAUAGACGAAUCCGUGUCGGAUUAGCUAGUUGGUAAGGUAACGGCCUACCAAGGCGACGAUGCGUAGCUGACCUGAGAGGAUGAUCGGCCACACUGGAACUGAGACACGGUCCAGACUCCUACGGGAGGCAGCAGUGGGGAAUAUUGGACAAUGGGCGCAAGCCUGAUCCAGCCAUACCGCGUGGGUGAAGAAGGCCUUCGGGUUGUAAAGCCCUUUUGUUGGGAAAGAAAAGCAGCAGGUUAAUACCCCGCUGUUCUGACGGUACCCAAAGAAUAAGCACCGGCUAACUUCGUG